UCGAGGAUCUUCGGCAAUGGGGGCAACCCUGACCGAGCGACGCCGCGUGGGCGACGAAGGCCUUCGGGUUGUAAAGCCCUGUCGAGGGGGAGAAAAGCGAAAGCGUGAUCGACCCCUGGAGGAAGCACGGGCUAAGUUCGGGCCAGCAGCCGCGGUAAGACGAACCGUGGGAACGUUGUUCGGAAUCACUGGGCUUAAAGGGCGCGUAGGGGGGCGGGCCAGUCCGGGGUGAAAUCCCGCGGCUCAACC
This 249-nucleotide ribosomal RNA is filed under the name uncultured Gemmata sp. RNAcentral's name for it is "partial 16S ribosomal RNA". It matches the Rfam family "Bacterial small subunit ribosomal RNA", at positions 355 to 614 of the family's 1533-position model. Lineage: Bacteria; Pseudomonadati; Planctomycetota; Planctomycetia; Gemmatales; Gemmataceae. The record is from RNAcentral.